Peromyscus maniculatus bairdii (prairie deer mouse) is the source of this 321-nucleotide long non-coding RNA. RefSeq lists it as uncharacterized. The record is from RefSeq and is a predicted model, not a curated record. Lineage: Eukaryota; Metazoa; Chordata; Mammalia; Rodentia; Cricetidae.
AUUCAGGUUUGCUUCUGUUCUAUUGGCUGUUGCCUCUUCAUGCAGUCAGAGAUGAGCCUGCUGUUGCUGAAGGGAGAGAUGAUCAAGUUUCUCGAAUGUGGUUCAGUGAGCAUGCCUGGUGGGACAGUACAGUACUCAAGUAAUUCAAGUGAAGCUAAGGCAAGAAGAAGAUAAGUUCAAAGACAGUAUGCAAUACAAAAUGUUCUCAUGGUGUAGGAAGAAAUCCAAGGCCUGCAACAGACAUACUAUUGAAUAUACAAGUCUACUCACAAGAGUUUGAGAGGUAACUCAGUGAAUAAAGCACUCAGCAUGGAAAAAUGA